AUGGACGAACUUAUGAAAUUGUUUUCUACUAAGAGUGCUCCUAUUGAUCCCAAUGAUAUGCCUUUGUCUACUUUGAUUGAGAAUAAAAAUGAAUCUAUGGAUGAGAAUUUUGUUGGUAGGAAUAGUUUUGGAAACAAUGCUUAUAGAGGAAACUUUAAUCCUAGACCGUUCCCUAGUAAUUCCUCUAAUAAUUAUGGAAAUUCCUACAAUAAUUCUUAUGGUAAUUUUAAUAAGAUGCCCUUUGAUUUUGAGAAUAGUGUGAAAGAAUUUAUGAUCUCUCAAAAGAAUUUUAAUGCCUUGCUUCAAGAAAAAUUGCUCAAAGUUGAUGAUUUGGCUACGAACGUUGAUAGACUUUCGCUUGAUGUUGAUUCUCUUAAACUUAGAUCUACCCCUCCUACGCAUGAUAUCAAUGAGUCUCUCAAAGCAAUGAGAGUGUCCAUUGAUGAAUGCAAAGAAAGAACCACUAGAUUGUGUGCUAAGAAAGAUUGCUUUGUAAAGGCGUGUUCUUCUAAUUUCCAUGAAAAUAAUGAUGAAUAUCUUAAAGUUAUUGAUGUAUCCCCUAUUAGAUCUUUGUUUUGCAAUAUGAAUCUUAAUAAUAAUGGGACUGGAGAUGAGUCCCAAUAUUUCGGAGUUUUUAGAUCUUGA
This 645-nucleotide ribosomal RNA is filed under the name Triticum aestivum (bread wheat). Its description in RNAcentral is "partial small subunit ribosomal RNA". The record is from RNAcentral. Lineage: Eukaryota; Viridiplantae; Streptophyta; Magnoliopsida; Poales; Poaceae.